GGAGGUGUAGCAUAAGUGGGAGGCUCUGCCGCCAGUGAAAUACCACUACUCUCAAUGUUGUUUUACUUACUUCAUGAAAUAGCAGCUAGCGUCUGCGAAGGCGUCUAGUUUUAGCGCGACGUGCUACAUGAAAGACAAUCGUUAGGUGGGGAGUUUGGCUGGGGC
Molecule: non-coding RNA, 165 nt
Filed under: Albugo candida
Lineage: Eukaryota; Oomycota; Peronosporomycetes; Albuginales; Albuginaceae
Description: Eukaryotic large subunit ribosomal RNA
Rfam family: Eukaryotic large subunit ribosomal RNA
Source: Rfam by way of RNAcentral